CCGGAGCCGCCCGUACCCUAAACCGACACAGGUGGAUGAGUAGAGAAUACUAAGGCGAUCGAGAGAAUCGUGGUUAAGGAACUCGGCAAAAUACCCCCGUAACUUCGGGAUAAGGGGGGCCGGAUACGUGAACACUUUGCGUGGUAAGCGUUGAAGGCCGCAGAGACCUGGCCCAAGCGACUGUUUAUCAAAAACACAGGUCCGUGCCAAGUCGUAAGACGAUGUAUACGGACUGACUCCUGCCCGGUGCUGGAAGGUUAAGGGGACGUGUCAACUUCGGUGAAGCACUGAACUUAAGCCCCAGUAAACGGCGGUGGUAACUAUAACCAUCCUAAGGUAGCGAAAUUCCUUGUCGGGUAAGUUCCGACCUGCACGAAUGGAGUAACGACUCGGGCGCUGUCUCAACCACGAACUCGGUGAAAUUGCAAUACGAGUAAAGAUGCUCGUUACGCGCAGCAGGACGGAAAGACCCCGGGACCUUUACUAUAGUUUGGUAUUGGUGAUCGGUACAGCUUGUGUAGGAUAGGUGGGAGACGUUGAAGCGGUCACGCUAGUGGUUGUGGAGUCAUUGUUGAAAUACCACUCUGGUUGUUCUGGUUAUCUAACCUCGGACCAUGAUCUGGUUCAGGGACAGUGCCUGAUGGGUAGUUUGACUGGGGCGGUCGCCUCCCAAAGAGUAACGGAGGCGCCCAAAGGUUCCCUCAGCCUGGUUGGCAAUCAGGUGUCGAGUGUAGGUGCACAAGGGAGCUUGACUGUGAGACUGACAGGUCGAGCAGGGACGAAAGUCGGGACUAGUGAUCUGACGGUGGCGUGUGGAAGCGCCGUCACUCAACGGAUAAAAGGUACCCCGGGGAUAACAGGCUGAUCUUGCCCGAGCGUCCAUAGCGACGGCAUGGUUUGGCACCUCGAUGUCGGCUCGUCGCAUCCUGGGGCUGGAGUCGGUCCCAAGGGUUGGGCUGUUCGCCCAUUAAAGCGGCACGCGAGCUGGGUUCAGAACGUCGUGAGACAGUUCGGUCCCUAUCCGCUGUGCGCGUAGGAGUCUUGAGAAGGGUUGUCCUUAGUACGAGAGGACCGGGACGGACCAACCUCUGGUGUGCCAGUUGUUCUGCCAAGAGCAUGGCUGGUUGGCUACGUUGGGGAGUGAUAACCGCUGAAAGCAUCUAAGCGGGAAGCACGCUUCAAGAUGAGGACUCCCACAUUGGUAAGGCCCCCAGUAGACGACUGGGUUGAUAGGUCGGACGUGGAAGCACUGAAAGGUGUGGAGCUGACCGAUACUAAUAGGCCGAGGGC
RNAcentral lists this ribosomal RNA (1290 nucleotides) under metagenome. RNAcentral describes it as "bacterial LSU rRNA". It matches the Rfam family "Bacterial large subunit ribosomal RNA", at positions 1632 to 2912 of the family's 2925-position model. The record is from RNAcentral.